RNAcentral lists this ribosomal RNA (492 nucleotides) under uncultured bacterium. RNAcentral's name for it is "partial 16S ribosomal RNA". It matches the Rfam family "Bacterial small subunit ribosomal RNA", at positions 29 to 507 of the family's 1533-position model. The record is from RNAcentral.
AGUGAACGCUGGCGGUAGGCCUAACACAUGCAAGUCGAACGGCAGCACAGUAAGAGCUUGCUCUUACGGGUGGCGAGUGGCGGACGGGUGAGGCAUACAUCGGAAUCUACUUUUUCGUGGGGGAUAACGUAGGGAAACUUACGCUAAUACCGCAUACGACCUACGGGUGAAAGCAGGGGAUCUUCGGACCUUGCGCGAUUGAAUGAGCCGAUGUCGGAUUAGCUAGUUGGCGGGGUAAAGGCCCACCAAGGCGACGAUCCGUAGCUGGUCUGAGAGGAUGAUCAGCCACACUGGAACUGAGACACGGUCCAGACUCCUACGGGAGGCAGCAGUGGGGAAUAUUGGACAAUGGGCGCAAGCCUGAUCCAGCCAUACCGCGUGGGUGAAGAAGGCCUUCGGGUGGUAAAGCCCUUUUGUUGGGAAAGAAAAGCAGCAGGUUAAUACCCAGCUGUUCUGACGGUACCCAAAGAAUAAGCACCGGCUAACUUCGUG